GAUGAACGCUGGCGGCGUGCUUCACACAUGCAAGUCGAACGGAAAGGCCCAAGCUUGCUUGGGUACUCGAGUGGCGAACGGGUGAGUAACACGUGGGUGAUCUGCCCCGCACUUCGGGAUAAGCCUGGGAAACUGGGUCUAAUACCGGAUAGGACAGUAGUUUGGAUGCCAUUGUGGAAAGUUUUUUCGGUGUGGGAUGAGCUCGCGGCCUAUCAGCUUGUUGGUGGGGUAAUGGCCUACCAAGGCGUCGACGGGUAGCCGGCCUGAGAGGGUGUACGGCCACAUUGGGACUGAGAUACGGCCCAGACUCCUACGGGAGGCAGCAGUGGGGAAGAUGGCACAAUGGGCGCAAGCCUGAUGCAGCGCCGCCGCGUGGGGGAUGACGGCCUUCGGGUUGUAAACUCCUUUCGCUAGGGACGAAGCGUUAUGUGACGGUACCUAGAGAAGAAGCACCGGCUAACUACGUG
This 467-nucleotide ribosomal RNA is filed under the name uncultured bacterium. Its description in RNAcentral is "partial 16S ribosomal RNA". It matches the Rfam family "Bacterial small subunit ribosomal RNA", at positions 28 to 507 of the family's 1533-position model. The record is from RNAcentral.